GGCGGGGGCAGGGCGGCGUGGCGAGGCUGCUACCAUGGCGACCGCUUUCAACACAAGGCCUGACUCGGGCGGCUGGCCAGGUCUAGAAGCUUCUGGCUCUGCGCGAGGCUCAAGGACAGUGGGGCACGGGAUGGGGGCGGACAGCGCUACGCCAGCGGGAGGGGAGCUCAGGGCACCACAUUAGGGGGCGGCAUAUGGGUUACGCCUGGUAGCACUCGGGAGGCGCAUGGCCCCCUGUGCCUCUGUUAAAAUUGCAAUUGCCAAAUGGGAUGACUCCUCAUGGCCCCUCCCUGUUCCUCUCGGUCGCUACCCCUCCCUCACAGGCAGCAGUCGCCUAUUGCCCAUACGGGGUGGGGCUCUUCAGAGGGUGGGGCGACAGCACCUUGACAACUGCAGGGGAGCUCCUAUGGACAGGAGGGCGGGGAGCAGGGCACUAUGACAUGGGGAGGGAGCCCAGGACAAGGUACGUGGAAGCGGGUGGGGGACGACGACUGAGGGACACAGGGCAGCACCUUGUAUCGUGGGUCACAGCACCAAAAUAAUAGGGGCACCAAAGCAUAGGGGUGGAAAGGCGUGACAGAUAGUUACCUCAAAGAGAGGCCCCGGAAAGAACAGGGGCACUAAACCGUAUGGCACUUUAGGGCCUCUUUCUGGGAGGAAGCACAGGACCAUAGAGUUCCCUACAUAGGAGCUACAGGGCUACAGCACCCAAAAUGGAGCAUUACCCCCACAGUUCUGGUCUACUGGGACCUUAGCACCAUGGGUCACAAGGAGGACACCAAAGAAAAGUCCAGGUUUAAGGGGCCAAAGCAAAGAGUGCACUGUAAGACUGGGACAACGAAAAAUAGAAGCGAUUUGGAAAAAUAUUCUGUAGCUAGGAAAUGAUUGUCAAUUUGGAAACAAGGAACAGAAUUUGUGUAGGAAGCAGAGAUGGGAAGAAUUUCCCUUAUUUCCAUGUUCAAAUUAUUAAUGAUUUGUUUUAUUCUAGCACUAGGAACUUUAGUCAUAGACCAGUAUCUCUGAGUGUUAGGCCAUUUGCAAAGCAGACUAAAAAGACAGUCCCGGGCCCCCAGGAGUCACGGUCUCCAUCAGUGAUACUCAGACUGGACACUUGAGAGUGGCUCUUAAAGUGUCCUCUGUCACUCUUUGCAGCUAAGAGUAAUGCAUGGGGGGCAGGAAGUGUCACAUGCCCUCCCCCCAUGCUGUGGGAGCCAGGCAAGGGGCUCUUUUGGCUACGCUGCUCAGAUGCUGCACUCUGACAGGAAGAGGAGAUGCUGCUCAACAUAGUGCGGCAUCAGAGGGACAGAGCCCCCCUCACUCACCAGGUAAUGGGAGGGAGCGUGGAGGGAGCCAGGCAGCAGGUACUCUCUCCUGAGUCCCAGGUGGCUUCCAGCCACACUGCCUGGGACGCUACCCAGUGCACUGCAGCACAGGGAGGGGAGGCAUCAGAGCAACUGCACUCUUCCAGGCAGCCUCCGGCCAUGUUGUCUGGGACUCUGCUUGCUGGGCAAUGCAGUGUAGCAGGAUAGACACUCUCCCUGCCUCAGUGACCACCAACCCCAAAAAGAUUCCUCACCCCUGGCAUAAAAAAAUUAAAGGGUCACAGACUAGAAGGCAACCACCUGGAUGUGGAAAUGGCCAAUUAGACGAGUUGGCAGUCAGCAGAAGAGGAAGCAGCAACUAGUGUGGAGGAAGGCAGCCGAUAUCCAAGAGCCCUGAUAUUUUGUCUUUGAUUCACAUAGAAAACAAUUGUGAAGCUAAAAGAAUAACUAAGCACUGCAGUACCGUGUAUAUAUGUGGCUGAUGGAGAGAAACUGGAAACAUGUAUGCUUUUUGAAAAAAUACAUUUAUUUCUUAAAAGCCAAAUCCUGGUUGCAGAGGAAAUAUUUGCCACUUAAUUCAAUGCAACAAGGCUUGAUCCAGAAGUACUAUUUGUUUAAAUGGACUCCACUAUGCUUGUCUAAGAUAGCUACUGAUUUAUAAAAAACUUUGGCACCAAACAUCAAGAUACUAGGAAGGAGAGGUGAACUCAGUUCAUGACUCAUUUCACUGAAUUGUGACUGGAUCAUUUGCCGUUCCCUUUGGUGUUCUAAAAAUAAGCAUAGAAGUUGCUGUGUUUGAGAUUCUUCUCUGGGUUGAUACGUUUUACUUCUUACAUACUGAGAGUUAAAUCCAGUCUUGGCUGGCACUGAGAGACAGAGAAAAAAUGCUGCCAGUGCAUCCUCUUCUACUGGCAUCCUGACACAUCCAGAAGAUCUGUUCUUUGAAGAUGGGGGCAGUGCCUUGUGGGGAUUGCUUUGAAGCUCCUCUCACUAAUGCUUCUUGCUAGCAGCAGGAGCUCACAUGGAAGGCUACACAGCCUCAUAGCCCCUGCAACAAAAAAGCAGGCCCCCAAGGGAAUUUUGUGAAAAGCCUGCAUGUGUUAGGAUAUUUCUCAUAGUGCUAUGCAGAGCUCUUAUGGUGCUGCUUGUAUUGGGUUGAGAGGGGCAAAUAGACUCCCAGGACCAAAUUUUCUUCUGGUUUAAAUGGGUGGGACUUCAUUGAAGUUCAGCUGGGAAUCUGAUUGCCCUAUCCUUUGUACCAAUGCCACACAAGGCAGGAUUUCACCUCAGCUGUAAUAUCAGGAAAACAGUACAAAAAGCACAGCAAUACACACACACACACACACACACACGAGAUUACAGAUUGAAUGGGUGACUAGAUUUACAUGCCAGCUAUGUAGGUAUAUAUAUUUCAUGACCGUUCAAAACAAACAAACUAUUUUGGCAGCUUGAGAGCUAAGGAGUUUGCACCAAGUGUGGUUAAGUCUGUGUGAGAUCUACAGUAAGAGGCUGCUCAUAGUCAUUGUAUAUAUGUAUGUGCUUCCAGAGGUAGAAAUCAGACAGAUGCUCAGUAUGGUAGGAAAAUGUAUGUGCCUAGUUUAUACCAUGUGACUUAAUUUUUACCUUCGUUAUCCUGAAAGGAAGGCAACUGUAACUCCUAAAAAUCUUCAAAGAGGUAUUGUUGCUUGCCUAACCUGUCAUAUUACAAUAGUCAAACCAGCCAUUCAAGACACGUGUGCAUGCCCAGAUUACCAUAAGAGCAAAGUCAUACAAUUAACUUCUGGGACAGUACAAAUCCAGAGCAAAUGACUAUUUUCAUUGACAUAGCAGGAUUUUCACAUUUUAAUAGUCUGGCAGGGGGGUUGCUCCCAUUCUUACAAGGAUAAAAUAUGAGUAUUUUUUCACACCUAAGGAAAAUUACUUUUCUAAUGGCAUUUGUUGUGACCUUCAACUUGUAAGAGUCUGGAGAAGUGUGGGACCAUUGUUCAAACACUGAGAAUUAACAUGCACAAUAAAGCAGGUUGCUUUUCUGAACAUUGACUGAAAACCUGCUAGUUACGAAAGAUUAGAUGCAUUUCCAGGUCUGCUCCACUCUGUUUCCACUUGCUGCAGAGCAAUGUCAGAGUCAAGGUUGAAGGUAAUUUAAGAGGACUGAGACAGCACAGUGCCCAAUUCCCAUGCAGUUUUACAAGGACUCAGCAGUUACUAUUUAGAUAUAAAGAGCACUAAUGAAAAUGAGGCAUCCUUGCUUCCUACUUUUUUACACCUACUACUUUUGCAGUGCCAGCUUUAGAGAUGUGAUGAGUUUUCUAGUGUUUUAAAUGUACAUUCAGGAAAAAUAGUGUAGCCUCUUAACAGUGCUGGUAGAAAGCUGAUCUUAAUUUCAAUCUGAAGUAUGUUUUGCCCAUGAAAGCUCAUGAUACUAUAUGCAACAAAUGCAACCUGAGCUGAACAAAUAAUGACAAAAGUUAUAGGAAUAUUGUAUUUACAAGUGCAAUGUAUUUGUAUAUAUUCACCCACCUCUGUAAUUGGAAUGGGAAAAAAUGCAAAUAAUAUUUUUGAAAAAAAUAGCG
Molecule: non-coding RNA, 3895 nt
Organism: Pelodiscus sinensis (Chinese soft-shelled turtle)
Lineage: Eukaryota; Metazoa; Chordata; Testudines; Trionychidae
Source: RefSeq, a predicted model, not a curated record